Non-coding RNA from Cinara cedri, 392 nucleotides. NCBI's taxonomy places the organism in Eukaryota, Metazoa, Arthropoda, Insecta, Hemiptera, Aphididae. The record is from the annotation of a GenBank genome assembly.
GAAAAAUAUUUUCGAGAUUUUUGAUUACAUGUAAACAGACGGUGUUGUCAGGGGUUUUAACUUAAAAUAACAUAUUAAAAGCAGAUCUUUGAAAAUAAUUCUGUAUACACAUUUUCACAUGGUACUUUAUUUCAUGAGUCAAUAAGAAUAUUUAAAACUCUGUAUUUGCUAUAAAAACAGGAAAUCUGAGCACAAAAACGGAUGGGAAAGGAAUUAAAGUUGAAGCUAUCAAGGGCAGAUCCACAAUAAACCACGCACAUAUAAAUAGCAUAUCCUUGGCUUAAAUUGUAGGACUAUAUUCACUAUGCAAAGUUAAAAAAACUCCUCUUCUCUCUCAACAUGAUGAAAUUUAUAUUGAAAUGUUACCGACAUGUUAGUAUUUAAAUCCACCU